Molecule: long non-coding RNA, 890 nt
Organism: Lagopus leucura (white-tailed ptarmigan)
Lineage: Eukaryota; Metazoa; Chordata; Aves; Galliformes; Phasianidae
Exons: 3
Source: RefSeq, a predicted model, not a curated record
GCAGCCCAGCAGUGGAAGUAGCAAACAGGAGUCUUAGCGCUGUAUGGCAUGGACUUGCUGUAGGCACAUCUCACAGCCCAUCCGUUGCCAUGAGAACAUCCAGCUACUUUGAUUAUGAAUGGAGAGAGAAACUAUAUGCCAUAUGCUCCAACAUAUUCUACCCUUCAGAUGCUUGGAACACAUGCUCUUGAAAACAAGUGUGUUUUCCUUCUCUAAAGCCAAAGAAUACAUGUGGAUGGCAAGGCUUUGUCUGCUGGGGUGCUCUUCUGAGCUCCUCUGAAACCCGUUCAUCAGUUAUGUUGUCAUUGAUGUCCUGUGGACUUGGAGUGACCAAAGGCUUCUUGUACUGCUUUCUCCAGUAGCUCAAUACCAGAAGAGGAUGCAUGUGGAAAACUGGUUUUCUUCCAUUCCCCUUUGUUACCAGGUAUCAUCCAACUAGUGUGCAAUGACUACAAAAACUAGAGUGGCCUGCCUUGGAAGGACUGUCCCAAACAGGGAUAUCUGAUGAACUGUGGCCAAUGGGACAAUUCUUAUUCUCCCAUCUGUGGGAGAAAUGCUAAAUAAGGAAAACAUGCCUGAGCUGAUCUCAGGGCUCAUUACUACUUAAAAUGUCCCAUGGCUCACAGUGAAGGCUUUGGGGAUACCUACCUGCUGCACAGCCUGCCUCUGAUUGUUGUAGAGGUGCCUUUUUGUGUUGUGCUAACAGUGAUCUUCACCAGUGAGACUCCAAUCUGACUUCUGCUCUUAUCAGAUAUCAGCUUCAAGUACCAGAUGCUUUAGAAGGAGGCGUGGAGGCAGAUGUUUUGAUUAUUGACCGUCCCCAAGAGAGAUCUUCUCCAUCCUGGUAAUUUGUGUGAUGGCAGCACCAAUAACCCCCAGCCAGAUUCAGA